GCCGAUACGGGGGUGAGAAAGAUUGUUUCAGGAGAGCAGCUGAGCUCUUAAGAGCACAGACUCAGCUCAGCAGUACCAGCUUUUCUCAGACUGAGUGGCAUGAGAGAUUUCAACACAUGUGUCAGCAGCCAGACUAACUGUGAAAAGAAUCACUGAACCAUAUGAAAAUGGAAAGCUCAAUCACCAGACUUCUCCUGAGAGAGUAUCAGCCUAUUAUCAUUACAUGUCUUCUACUUAGCAAUCAAAAGUAAAUAAGACUGUUGGAGCCUCUUCUGUAUGAAACACAUGGCGACUUUACAUACAUCAAUUAAUAAAGCUUCAGGACCUCUACCAG
Long non-coding RNA from Mustela lutreola (European mink), 334 nucleotides. RefSeq lists it as uncharacterized. The transcript is spliced from 3 exons. NCBI's taxonomy places the organism in Eukaryota, Metazoa, Chordata, Mammalia, Carnivora, Mustelidae. The record is from RefSeq and is a predicted model, not a curated record.